This is a vault RNA of Salarias fasciatus (jewelled blenny), 108 nucleotides long. Its record names the gene Vault. It matches the Rfam family "Vault RNA". Rfam says of the family: This family of RNAs are found as part of the enigmatic vault ribonucleoprotein complex. The complex consists of a major vault protein (MVP), two minor vault proteins (VPARP and TEP1), and several small untranslated RNA molecules. The record is from Ensembl. Lineage: Eukaryota; Metazoa; Chordata; Actinopteri; Blenniiformes; Blenniidae.
GCACUGGCUUAGCUCAGUGGUUACUUCCUCUGACACUUCAUCCUCUGGAUGAUCCUCAGUUCUUCCCUCAUCAGAGGGAUCAAACCACGGGUGCUGUCCAGUGUCUUU